Molecule: transfer-messenger RNA, 384 nt
Filed under: Microcoleus sp. FACHB-1515
Lineage: Bacteria; Bacillati; Cyanobacteriota; Cyanophyceae; Oscillatoriales; Microcoleaceae
Also listed under: 2 other names
Rfam family: transfer-messenger RNA
About the family: Bacterial tmRNA, also known as 10Sa RNA or SsrA, is named for its dual tRNA and mRNA-like properties. Its role is to liberate the mRNA from a stalled ribosome.
Source: Rfam by way of RNAcentral
GGGGCUGUAACGGUUUCGACGUUUUAGCGAACGCCAUCUUGUGAUGCAGGCCGAGAGUGAGUCAACUCUCGUAAAUCAAGGCUCAAAAAACAGUACAUGCGAACAACAUCGUACCUUUCGCUCGUAAAGCAGCUGCGGUUGCCUAAACACCUCUAACAGGUUCGAGCAUUCACAGUUUGACUCCGUUAAAAGCUGUGGAUAACCCUCAACGGAUGCUUUAGCAAUCUGCCUCUGGUCGCUUGCUAGCUAAGACAUUACCAGAGCAUCCCACCGUUCGGGAUAAGGAACGGUUCCCGCUUCGAGGGUUAGAGAAGCUACGCCUGUGAAUGAGUGAGAUGCUAAUACCUAAAGCGGACACGGGUUCGACUCCCGUCAGCUCCAUUU